AUUGAACGCUGGCGGCAGGCCUAACACAUGCAAGUCGAGCGGAUGCAGGGCGUUUGCUCCUGGCUUCAGCGGCGCACGGGUGAGUAAUGCCUAGGAAUGUGCCUAGUAGUGGGGUAACGCGUCGGAAACUGGGCGCUAAUCCCACACGAUCCAAGGGGGAGAACGGGGGGGAUCAUCGCCUCGUGCGCUUGCAGCGGACGAUGGCGGAUUAGGUAGUUGGUGGGGUAAAAGCCUACCAAGGCGACGAUCUGUAACUGGUCUGAGAGGAGGAUCAGCCACACUGGAACUGAGACACGGUCCAGACUCCUACGGGAGGCAGCAGUGGGGAAUAUUGGACAAUGGGCGAAAGCCUGAUCCAGCCAUGCCGCGUGUGUGAAGAAGGUCUUCGGAUUGUAAAGCACUUUAAGUUGGGAGGAAGAGGAGUUAGUUAAUACCUUGCGGUCUUGACGGUACCGAAAGAAUAAGCACCGGCUAACUUCGUG
Molecule: ribosomal RNA, 482 nt
Filed under: uncultured bacterium
Lineage: Bacteria
Description: partial 16S ribosomal RNA
Rfam family: Bacterial small subunit ribosomal RNA
Source: RNAcentral